UAAUAUCAGAAUAUUUUGAUGAGAAAUAGUAAAACUUUUAGUACAUUUAAAUAUUUAUAAUAGUCAAUUUAGAAUAAAAAUAUCUUCAAAUCUAAUCAAUUUAACUUGAAAAAUAACAUAAGUUUUACAUAGGCUCAAUACUAACAUAUGCUCAAAGGCUGAACGAUAUUUCUCUCAAGAAGCAAACGUAUGCCAUGAAUGCUCGUAAUGAAAUGAAGGGUGAGAAAUUGUGGUGUGAAAAAAAGUGGCGAUUACGCAUGCGUGACUUUCGCGUGAAAUAUUCUCUCUCAACAAAUAUUUUCCCCUUUUUUCUAAUGGGGAAAAAGACACACGCUCAAUUUCGUCGCGCUAUUAAAUCGAUCGUGUAAUUAGGGACUGUAUAGAAACAUUGUUGAAAAAAAUGCGAAUUUUCUCUUGAAUUUUGUGUCGCUUUGUAUUAUAUGCAAUUAAAUAAUUUUUUACACGAAUUGAAGUAAGUUGUGACAUUUACACCAAAUGAGAAAAAUAAAUAAUAGUUGAUAGAUCGAAGGAAAAUGGAGAGGAUAAGCUUCACUCUUGUCAGGUACUUCAGUCAUAUGUUAGAUCUCGCAAAGAGAUGAGUCUCAAGAUUAAAAGUAUGUAUUUGAAUCUAACAAUAACUAGAACUCUUAUGGUCGCUAUUGGCCUGUGGCCCUAUCAACAAUCAAAACUUAUUCGAUUUCAAUUUAUUUGUCUAUCCAGUAUUGUGACUGCGAGUGUUAUAUUUCAGUGUACAGUGUUUAUCUCACAAAAAUGUACUCCUGAGCUCAUCAUCAAAGUUCUAUCUUCCGUAUGUUUCUUUCUUUUCUCUUUAACAAAAUACAACUUGUUUUCUCUUAAUCUUGACGUUAUGAAGGAUAUGUUCCAAGAACUAUUCGACGAAUGUAAUAAGUUAAAAGACGCAAAUGAAAUUGCUAUUAUAGACGAAUAUGGGUAUAAUGGCAAACGUAUUGCCAUUUUCAUUACAUGUAAGUUAAUUUUUGUCGAGUACAGUCACAGUUUCUUUUUAAUACGUAAAAACUGUCAAGAUUUCACUGUAAAAAUCGAUUUCGAUAAACAUUUGCAAUUUCUUUGCGUACAUUAUAAUCAACAAGUAACAAAUAUUUUCUAAUUAAUAAUUUCGAAUAAAAUGAUAGAAAGUAUUAUAGUAAUUAAUUGCACAAUAAAAAUCGAUCACAAGU
Long non-coding RNA from Nylanderia fulva, 1199 nucleotides. RefSeq lists it as uncharacterized. The record is from RefSeq and is a predicted model, not a curated record. NCBI's taxonomy places the organism in Eukaryota, Metazoa, Arthropoda, Insecta, Hymenoptera, Formicidae.